UGAAGAAGGAACAUGUUUUAUUUCUACAAUUUCCAAAAACGAACUAAACAAAAACAUAAUUACUUUUACAAGACGUGUUUCUGCCAUAAUGUGCAUUAGUAGCACAAUUUCCAAUUUAUUUACAUUUGUUUGUACUUAGACUUGUAUGUUAACUUCUCCAUAUUGACAUUGAGGUUUUAAAUUUUGGCGGACUUUUCUUAGCGGAUGUACAAUCAUCGCGAAAGGAAUAUGGGGCAUUUCAGGCCCCGAAGUUAAAAUAAUUUUAAACUCGCAAACUCGAUCAAAAACGAGGGCUGAGUGGCUUACAUUGCGAACACCCCUUGCUUGGCUAAAUGUUGGACCAACGACAAAUAUGGCCGCGGGGAUUCCCCCAAGGGCAUAAGGUGAGGGUCCUCCACUGUAGCUGCUUGUUUUGUUGAACAGAUCCCAGGUGUGACAAGAAAAGACAGUGGAAUAACAGACGGAACAGCCCUUCGUUCCACCCUGCCUCUGUUCACCCGGGGACGAGGGUGGCGGUGCGGGCCGUAUGGUUGUGAAUAGGAAUAUUCACUACAAUACAGUGGUGCAGAUGGAGACUGGGGAUAUAUGGUGAGAGUCAAUAAGAAUGACUGACCCGGUGACCCUCAACGUGGGUGGCUGUCUGUACACCACGUCCCAGGCCACCCUGCAGCGCUACCCUGACUCCAUGCUAGGGGUCCAUGUUCCACGGAGACUUCCCCACUACACGCAGCGCUCAGACUUCUACCAGAUCGAGCCGUUGAUGCAGUCUCUCACCGACACUAAACCCCUCUACCCCCUGGACACAUUUUGAGGAGGUGGUGGAGCUCUCGUCAACCAGGAAGCUCUCGUCAACCAGGAAGCUCUCGUCAACCAGGAAGCUCUCGUCAACCAGGAAGCUCUCGUCAACCAGGAAGCUCUCGUCAACCAGGAAGCUCUCGUCAACCAGGAAGCUCUCGUCAACCAGGAAGCUCUCGUCAACCAGGAAGCUCUCGUCAACCAGGAAGCUCUCGUCAACCAGGAAGCUGUCCAUGUACUCCAACCUUGUUGCUGCCGUCAUCACCACCAAGCUCACCAUCACCACCAAAGUCCACUCGCUACUGGAGAGGGUGUCUUAACAGCUUCACCAAAGUGGAUCAAACACAUGAUUGAUUCCAGUGACUUCCAGGUGUCCUUCACCUUUUGGUCCGUGUGACUAUCACCAGGAGGUGUCUCUGAGAGUGCACCUGUUGGACUAUAUCGCCAAACGGGGCUUCAGGAACACCAGGGUCCACCAGAUGAGUGAGAGGGCCAACGAGAACACAGUG
This is an RNA transcript of Salvelinus namaycush (lake trout), 1304 nucleotides long. It is a transcript of the gene named BTB/POZ domain-containing protein KCTD6-like, with no coding region annotated. The record is from RefSeq and is a predicted model, not a curated record. Lineage: Eukaryota; Metazoa; Chordata; Actinopteri; Salmoniformes; Salmonidae. The transcript has 4 exons.